CCCUUAGAUGUUCUGGGCCGCACGCGCGCUACAAUGAUGAAUUCAACGAGUUUAUAACCUUGGUUGAAAAGCCUGGGUAAUCUUUUGAACUUUCGUCGUGAUGGGGCUAGACCCUUGCAAUUAUUGGUCUCCAACGAGGAAUUCCUAGUAAACGCAAGUCAUCAGCUUGCAUUGAUUACGUCCCUGCCCUUUGUACACACCGCCCGUCGCUACUACCGAUUGGAUGGUUUAGUGAGGCCCUCGGAUCGGCCCCGCCGGGGUCGGCCCACGGCCCUGGCGGAGCGCUGAGAAGACGGUCGAACUUGACUAUCUAGAGGAAGUAAAAGUCGUAACA
This 334-nucleotide ribosomal RNA is filed under the name uncultured eukaryote. Its description in RNAcentral is "partial 18S ribosomal RNA". It matches the Rfam family "Eukaryotic small subunit ribosomal RNA", at positions 1470 to 1796 of the family's 1831-position model. The record is from RNAcentral.